Molecule: small nucleolar RNA, 107 nt
Organism: Lathyrus oleraceus (garden pea)
Lineage: Eukaryota; Viridiplantae; Streptophyta; Magnoliopsida; Fabales; Fabaceae
Source: RefSeq, a predicted model, not a curated record
AGGCCGUGAUGUGGACACAUUCUCAUCAUGUCUUUAUAUCUCUCCCACGCGUCGUUGAGAGAUUCUACAUCUUUUUAUCGAAAUCCGUUGAUUUGAGCUCUCAGCAU